Long non-coding RNA from Drosophila sulfurigaster albostrigata, 1681 nucleotides. RefSeq lists it as uncharacterized. The transcript has 2 exons. The record is from RefSeq and is a predicted model, not a curated record. NCBI's taxonomy places the organism in Eukaryota, Metazoa, Arthropoda, Insecta, Diptera, Drosophilidae.
GCCUGUCGGUCACCUACCUACCACACAAAGGACCAGACUUCUAGCACUACAAAAGCCCAACUUACGUCUAACGACGACGCCGCAGUGAGAGAGUAGCGCAGCAAAGAGAGAGAGCGAGAGCGAGCGCAAUGUAAGAGUCGAAUUAUCGAUUAGUUGUGGGUUGAGCAACCGCGCUUAGCCCUGAACCCCACAAUAACAACAACAGCCGCAUAGCAAAAGCUCAAGCUCAAGCUCAGUGCAAAAGUUUAUGGUCUAUCGAUUGGCACACGACAGACAGACUUGCAGCUGACCAGCAGCGAGGUGAGUGUAGAGAGCUUUGUAGAGACGACAGCCGUGGAGACUUUCGUUUGCCAAACGCAUAACGCAUGCGUCGAAUUGCAUCUCCAGUCGCUGCCUGCUUUUGUUUCUCCACUGUGGGUGGCGGGUCUGAGGCCCGGAAAUUACCGGACGGCGGCGUUUCGUAUUUUUGGGUGUGGAUUGCAACAAAGUGCAGUCAACCCCCUGAUGAGGAGUUGUCACCUUGGGGGAAGUUGCAGUGUGAAAUUUAUAUAUUGGUCAUAAAUCAAAUUGAUUUUCGUAUUUGGUUACGAGAGCAAAUCGAUGCGAUUGAACAGCAUCCAACUGACGAUGCGAAAUAUGGAACUAUUAUGAAAGUGGGAGAAAAGUUGUGCAACUCUCGGCAAUGCGGAAGUUCUUUGGGCCAAGUGCAAUUAACCUAGAAUUCUUAUGCGUCAUUGGGCAGAUUUCUUUCUGCGAAAACUAUUUCCCCAAAAACGUUGACCCAAAUAUGUCAGCUUAAUUUCACAUUUUGAUGUGAUACAUUUGGGAUACAUUUUUGUAUAAACACAAUAUUCAUGACCUGAUUUAGCAAGUAGAACAUAUGAGGUUCAAAGAGAGCACAGAGAAAAGAGUAAAGGGAAAUUAAAGGAAGAAGAGAUCGAAUGGAUUCUAUGUGGAUCAAGAGUGCACGCUGUGCAAUGUGGAAUCUGACAACGCAGUUUUCCCGUUGCAUCGCAUAUUGAUCACGCUAAACUAAACAAAGACAAAAACCUCACAGAAUAUACUUGUAUAUAAGCAUGUGUCUACAACAAUUGUUAAGUAUUAUUCACACUUUGUUUACAGCGUGUCGCCUUAGGGAACUUUCACAAAUUCGUUACGCCUCGUAAAUACACUCAAUUGGAUCAGUUUUUAUAGCACUUUUUUCCACUACACCAGCAUAUGCUGCUUAUACACACUUACAAAGUGUAUGCAAUUGUUUGUUCGUAUGUGUGUAAUUAACUACUCGACGAUAUGAAGUCUAUAUUUAUGCAUAAGCACUUGAUUGCCAUUUGAUAGACAUGUGGCCACUGACUGACUGACUGCCAAGGCAGGCGAUAAACGCAAAGCAAAGGCGCUGAUAAGUGCCAGCUUAGUUAGUCUGAGCUAAGCGACAGCAUUGAAAAGAGCGUAGGAAGAGAGAAAGGGAAGCCAAAGCAAAGGGCGCCUCAGUGAUGCCAACUUUGCGAACAGCAGUAGCAAAAAACAGAUAAGGAUUACAGAAUAAGUAUAAAAAGUGGAAGCGCAUUGUAAUUAUGAAAGUAAUGUAAUAAAGUAUUUUAUAUAAUUUGUAAUAGAAUGCUUGAAAAGACUAUCCUUAUAAUAUUUCAAAGAUCAGGAAUAGAGAAUAUUACUUUUAAUAAUA